Molecule: ribosomal RNA, 1665 nt
Filed under: Staphylococcus aureus M0350
Lineage: Bacteria; Bacillati; Bacillota; Bacilli; Caryophanales; Staphylococcaceae
Description: bacterial LSU rRNA
Rfam family: Bacterial large subunit ribosomal RNA
Source: RNAcentral
GUAUAUAAUUUAAAGAACUAUUUUAAAUUACAACUUUUAGAGUUUUUAUUAUUAGGCGGCCAGUCCAUUAUUGGGCUUGGUUGUCUUCUUUUUUUGAGGAAGGCUCGUCCGCUCUGGGUUAGUCGGGUCCUAAGCUGAGGCCGACAGGCGUAGGCGAUGGAUAACAGGUUGAUAUUCCUGUACCACCUAUAAUCGUUUUAAUCGAUGGGGGGACGCAGUAGGAUAGGCGAAGCGUGCGAUUGGAUUGCACGUCUAAGCAGUAAGGCUGAGUAUUAGGCAAAUCCGGUACUCGUUAAGGCUGAGCUGUGAUGGGGAGAAGACAUUGUGUCUUCGAGUCGUUGAUUUCACACUGCCGAGAAAAGCCUCUAGAUAGAAAAUAGGUGCCCGUACCGCAAACCGACACAGGUAGUCAAGAUGAGAAUUCUAAGGUGAGCGAGCGAACUCUCGUUAAGGAACUCGGCAAAAUGACCCCGUAACUUCGGGAGAAGGGGUGCUCUUUAGGGUUAACGCCCAGAAGAGCCGCAGUGAAUAGGCCCAAGCGACUGUUUAUCAAAAACACAGGUCUCUGCUAAACCGUAAGGUGAUGUAUAGGGGCUGACGCCUGCCCGGUGCUGGAAGGUUAAGAGGAGUGGUUAGCUUCUGCGAAGCUACGAAUCGAAGCCCCAGUAAACGGCGGCCGUAACUAUAACGGUCCUAAGGUAGCGAAAUUCCUUGUCGGGUAAGUUCCGACCCGCACGAAAGGCGUAACGAUUUGGGCACUGUCUCAACGAGAGACUCGGUGAAAUCAUAGUACCUGUGAAGAUGCAGGUUACCCGCGACAGGACGGAAAGACCCCGUGGAGCUUUACUGUAGCCUGAUAUUGAAAUUCGGCACAGCUUGUACAGGAUAGGUAGGAGCCUUUGAAACGUGAGCGCUAGCUUACGUGGAGGCGCUGGUGGGAUACUACCCUAGCUGUGUUGGCUUUCUAACCCGCACCACUUAUCGUGGUGGGAGACAGUGUCAGGCGGGCAGUUUGACUGGGGCGGUCGCCUCCUAAAAGGUAACGGAGGCGCUCAAAGGUUCCCUCAGAAUGGUUGGAAAUCAUUCAUAGAGUGUAAAGGCAUAAGGGAGCUUGACUGCGAGACCUACAAGUCGAGCAGGGUCGAAAGACGGACUUAGUGAUCCGGUGGUUCCGCAUGGAAGGGCCAUCGCUCAACGGAUAAAAGCUACCCCGGGGAUAACAGGCUUAUCUCCCCCAAGAGUUCACAUCGACGGGGAGGUUUGGCACCUCGAUGUCGGCUCAUCGCAUCCUGGGGCUGUAGUCGGUCCCAAGGGUUGGGCUGUUCGCCCAUUAAAGCGGUACGCGAGCUGGGUUCAGAACGUCGUGAGACAGUUCGGUCCCUAUCCGUCGUGGGCGUAGGAAAUUUGAGAGGAGCUGUCCUUAGUACGAGAGGACCGGGAUGGACAUACCUCUGGUGUACCAGUUGUCGUGCCAACGGCAUAGCUGGGUAGCUAUGUGUGGACGGGAUAAGUGCUGAAAGCAUCUAAGCAUGAAGCCCCCCUCAAGAUGAGAUUUCCCAACUUCGGUUAUAAGAUCCCUCAAAGAUGAUGAGGUUAAUAGGUUCGAGGUGGAAGCAUGGUGACAUGUGGAGCUGACGAAUACUAAUCGAUCGAAGACUUAAUCAA